UCUGAUUAAUUAUUCCGAUUAAUCGCUAAUCGAUACCUUCAUGGAUUAAUUCCGAUUCCCACUAUUUACAACACUGGUUAUAAUACUAUACUAAAUUCUACGAGUGUUAUAUAAUUAGGUUAUUAAGUCUGCUUUUCAAUUUUUCUUAAGAAAAUUCCCUUUUCCAAUUUUAGUUUUUUUAAAUUUGAUCAGAGUUGGAUCGAUUUUGACUGAUUUUGACCCAGGCUCAAAUCUGGGAUAUCAUCCGAGUAAUCUAAUAUUGUUUUGGAGAAGGGUCUGGGUCCGAGUCCGAGUACUCGCCUGAUUUAUUGGCCGAUUUUCAGAACACUGGUUUUAUGUUGCUCGAUCAUUGCAUAAUUUCUCCUUUGAACUUAAGGUGUGAAGGAGGUGCUUUCUUGUGUCGUCCAUGAUUUGCCUCCAAUUGGCCUUUUGUUUUGUGUUUCGUAGCACUAACUUAGCAAAAUUCCUUUUUGCUUACAAAAUUAAGGUCAUGAUGCUUGAUUUAUUAAGGCGUUUAUGUCGACCACUAUAACCAAAAAUACAAUCUCUGAUUCCCCCAGCCUUAUAUUUCUUGGUAAUUUGUUCUUUCGUAUUAGGUGGAAGUUUAUCUCAUUCUCACCUGUAAAUUUUAAUCAUUAGGAACAAUUAUAUACUUCUCAAGGACAGUAGAUGGUCUUUUGAUCAAAGUCUCUGUUCCUGGAUAGUUCUUUGCUUUAUCUGUUAGAUUUACAGUGUAAGGCAGUCUUACCUCGUAGCAUUCACUCUUAAAAUAUUUAGAUAAUUAUAUAUGCAGAUUUUGGCUAUGGUUGCCAACUUCUUCAUUCAGUCAUUUAUUUGUUGCCUCAAAAUACUUGAGCACAAUUUACAAAACGGUGUGUGUGUGUGUGCAGCUGAGAGGCUAUUAGACUGGAACAGUUCGUAGCGGGGACUAUGUAGUAAGCGUGACUCAUUCUGUCAAAAUUCACAUUUUCUGUUACUUUACCCAAAUUCGUUCACCCAAGUGUAUAUAGGAAUUAUGUAUUACAAGGUUGCUAAGCUAUUCUGUUUAGUUUUUUUUUUUUUUUUUUGCAAGGAAAUAAAAUAAGCUAUUCUGUUUAGUUUAGAAAGCCCAGUUGUACAUGCCCUGGGAAGGGCUCGGGGGAAAAGUGUUGGUUAACACAUUGCAAUGAGUAGUAUGCCAUUCAUUUUGCAGCUGCUGAAAACGUAAUCUCUUUUCCCAGAUUCAAUUGUGCUUUAGGAAUCAUGGUUCUUGUUGCAGCUAAUUUACAGAUUUUGUACCGCCGACCGACUCAGGAAAGAAGCUGACAGCCCAAUAUUCCCCAUGAUUCAGGUGUUUCACGGGAGGGUAGGUCUUCCGACCGAGUGAGGUGUUGCCAGCUGUCUGAAGUGGUCCAUCUGCGGAGUCUUAUUGCCGACAGCAUGAAAUAACUGUUACUGUAACUAUGAGUAUGAAUUUGCCCAUCAGCCCAUGAAUAAUGAUGAAUCGUGUAAAGGGUGGUGUACUAUAAUUAUCAGGAACCUUCUGAUGUGCAUCAUCGACGAUUAGUUCUACAUCUACUUGAAGACUUCCUGAAGAGAAAUUGAAGACUUCCUGAUUCCCUGAAUAAUGUGCGAAUUCUGGUGUAGGAUUCAUCUAAUAAAGAGAACAGAAUUCACUGGAUGAGUUGGGGGAGAUUAAGCAAGAAGAAAACGGAAGGAGGCUUAGGUUUUCGUAAUCUACGUUAGUUCAACCUCACCCUCUUGGAUAAGCAGGGGUGGAAACUGAUUCAAUCCCCAGGCAGUUUGGUUAGCAAAAUUUUCAAAGCUCAGCAUUAUCCAAAUGGCACCUUCUUAACUGCUAAAAUGGUGGCAGCCGUAGUUAUAUCUGACGUAGUACGAUUCUCAAGAAGGGUGAGAUCAGGCAGAUAAGUAGACAUUCUAACUAUCAUUGGCCUCCUUAUCAAACGAUUAUUGGCUCCCGGAUUAGGAGGAUCCAUAUAUUCACACGAAGCAUGAAGGUCCAAUAGAACAGUUGCAUCUCUAAUGAUCCCUGGAGGAAAUCAACGGGACGCUGAUCUGGUAAAAGAUAUGUUCGAGGAGAGAUGCAAAUCUGAUGUCAAUCUCUCUAAGGAACAAUGACAGCGACUCUUGGUACUGGAAGGAAGAAAAGCUGGGUCAGUAUAGUGUGAGAAGUGCCUACGGGGUAAGGGUUGAUACAAGCAGAUAAAGGAUCCACACAUACAUCUGACAACUCGGGUUUUUGACGUAAGUUAUGAAAUUUAAAGGUACCUCCAAAGGUGAAAAGCUUCCUGUGGCAUGCAUCCACAGGUAUUCUCCCAACCAAAACACAACUGAGGUUAAAGCAAGUGAAGAUAAACGUGUUAUGCCCAGUCUGCAAUGAGGAAUUAGAAUCAAUUUGUCAUGCUCUUGUUUCCUGUCAAUUGGCUCAGGCUUGCUGGAACAUAGUUGGUAAAUGGAAUCACGUACAGGACAAUGUAAUUUCAUGGAAUGGCUCGACCAGGUUUUCAAAGCUAACAAUGGGGAGGAUAUUAGUUCUAUAGUCAUGCUGCUUUGGUCGUUAUGGAAAAGCAUGAACGAGCUAGUAUGGAAUCAACGAGGAAUGGGAGUUGAUGAGAUUGUAGAGUCUGCAUAAUCAGUACUUAACCAAAGGCAGAAUGCUCAGGAUAAAACUUUUGACAAUUUGCUUGGUCUUGUGACACAAGAAGAUGGAGCUGAGUACUAGAAACUUCCCAUCGAAGGUACGGUUAAGGUAAACACAGAUACAACAAUCUUCCGUGAGUCCAAAUGUUACAGUUAUUCCAUGAUCGCCCUUAACCACAGCAGAGAGCUGAUAGAAGCGAAAUUGAAGUGUAACCAAGGUACAAUCAGUCGGGAACUAGCAGAAGCAAUGGGAGUACGAGAGGGUUUAAGCCGGGUAAAAUCAUCUGCAUGGAGAGACGUCGAGAUCGAGACAGAAUGUAUGCUCAUCGUCCAAGCAAUCAGAAGCAAUGAUGUCUGUUUAUCAUACCUCGGCAUAAUAGUAGACGAAUGCAAACAAAUUUUGUACGAGUUUGUUGAUCAAAAAGUAUCUUUUGAAAUUUGUCAAGCGGUCAGCGAAUAAGUUCAUUACGUGGCUAGAUGUAAUUGUUUUGUAGUCGGAGGGCGGAUAACAUCCUUUCAAAAAUUUUACAUGUACUACUGCAUGAUUUGAAGUUUUAUUGAAAUCUUUUCUUUGUGGCAAAAAAA
Long non-coding RNA from Daucus carota subsp. sativus, 3225 nucleotides. RefSeq lists it as uncharacterized. NCBI's taxonomy places the organism in Eukaryota, Viridiplantae, Streptophyta, Magnoliopsida, Apiales, Apiaceae. The record is from RefSeq and is a predicted model, not a curated record. The transcript is spliced from 3 exons.